This 467-nucleotide ribosomal RNA is filed under the name uncultured bacterium. Its description in RNAcentral is "partial 16S ribosomal RNA". It matches the Rfam family "Bacterial small subunit ribosomal RNA", at positions 28 to 507 of the family's 1533-position model. The record is from RNAcentral.
GACGAACGCUGGCGGCGUGCUUAACACAUGCAAGUCGAACGGAAAGGCCUCUUUCGGGGGGUACUCGAGUGGCGAACGGGUGAGUAACACGUGAGUAACCUGCCCUUGACUUUGGGAUAACUUCAGGAAACUGGGGCUAAUACCGGAUAGGAGCUCCUGCUGCAUGGUGGGGGUUGGAAAGUUUCGGCGGUUGGGGAUGGACUCGCGGCUUAUCAGCUUGUUGGUGGGGUAGUGGCUUACCAAGGCUUUGACGGGUAGCCGGCCUGAGAGGGUGACCGGCCACAUUGGGACUGAGAUACGGCCCAGACUCCUACGGGAGGCAGCAGGGGGGAAUAUUGCACAAUGGGUGGAAGCCUGAUGCAGCAACGCCGUGUGCGGGAUGACGGCCUUCGGGUUGGAAACCGCUUUCGCUCAUGACGAAGCUUUGUGUGACGGUAGUGGGUAAAGAAGCACCGGCUAACUACGUG